GCUUUAAUCCUCGAUAAUCUUGUUGAGAAAGGUACCCCUGGAGAUGACCACUUCCAGCCUUCCAGUUAUCUUUUCUCCAUUGCUAAACUGGAUUGCUCAGGACAGGUAUUUUAUACCCACACACCAAAGAAACUUUUUGAGGUUUGGGGAGAUGCAUCACUGCGGACCCUCUCGUAUUGCAAAAAAAAGAAGAGCCUUGGAUCUACCAGUUUAAGCAAACAUUU
Danio aesculapii is the source of this 224-nucleotide long non-coding RNA. RefSeq lists it as uncharacterized. The transcript has 3 exons. Lineage: Eukaryota; Metazoa; Chordata; Actinopteri; Cypriniformes; Danionidae. The record is from RefSeq and is a predicted model, not a curated record.